UGUGACUCUAGCUGGUAUUAUCCCCGACAAACCACAUGUUAUAUUUAGAGGGGCUCCAAGCUUUAAAUCCAUCCUUACAAAAAAUUAUACUAAACAAAAUAAAACUAGCCUUCCUCCUUGCCCCUCUCCCAUUCCGAUGAAGCCUAAAGGUUUUUUUUUAGAUGUAAUAAAUGCACAGUAUGUAAACAUACGGAUAAUACUGUUAAAUCAAAAACUAUUUCUUUU
Pelobates cultripes (western spadefoot toad) is the source of this 225-nucleotide non-coding RNA. Lineage: Eukaryota; Metazoa; Chordata; Amphibia; Anura; Pelobatidae. The record is from the annotation of a GenBank genome assembly.